This 27-nucleotide non-coding RNA is filed under the name Bombyx mori (domestic silkworm). Lineage: Eukaryota; Metazoa; Arthropoda; Insecta; Lepidoptera; Bombycidae. The record is from RNAcentral.
UAUUGAUGUGUACAAAGUGAAUGUGAU